AUAUUUUUUCUACUCCUAUUUCAUGCUUCAUCUUAUUGUGGGGAAAUGCUAGUUGGAGGUAGGAGGAAUGACUGAUUCUUCAGUAGUUUUCUAGAUAUUUGAUUGAUGUUGUGAACCAUUUAACUUCAACCUUUAUGCCUUUUGAAGCUUAAAAACCAUGUUAUUACAACUCAAAAGCCUGGGUUUAUGAAACUUAAAGAAGGGUUUGAUUUUGGUUUUCCUGAGAUUUCCUUGU
Molecule: long non-coding RNA, 235 nt
Filed under: Bos taurus (domestic cattle)
Lineage: Eukaryota; Metazoa; Chordata; Mammalia; Artiodactyla; Bovidae
Description: long non-coding RNA NONBTAT023887
Source: RNAcentral